This is a long non-coding RNA of Gasterosteus aculeatus aculeatus (three-spined stickleback), 2837 nucleotides long. The record is from Ensembl. NCBI's taxonomy places the organism in Eukaryota, Metazoa, Chordata, Actinopteri, Perciformes, Gasterosteidae.
UGUGUGUGUGUGUGUGUGUGUGCGCGCCGAUGUUUCCUGUAGACAGAGAGGCGUGUUUGGGUUCCUGAGUUCACUGCUGGGCCUGUUUCAGGGUCGGUUUUAUUGUUUAUGUACACAGUACUGCAUGUGAUAAAAAAGGAGGUACUGCUGCAACCAUGGAUGCCCCCAGUCAGAUAUUUGCUGACAACACUUUUGGUAUAGAUAUUGAUAAUCAAUUAGAUUGUCAGAUUGUAAGUCACAAAAAGUUUUCAAAAGCAAAAAAUAACAAAAAUUUUACUUCCAAUAUGUAAAUAUUUAUUUGAAUCUCAACUGUUUGGCGUGGAUGCUGUUUUUAAAUGAAAAGAAUAAUUAAUAGAACCGGUAGAUUUACCCAUAAUGUUAAUAAACAUCCGUUGCAGCUCCUAAUAUGGUCCCAAUUAACCAGCACAUCUUGUGCACGAGAGCACAUGAAAUAACAUUGCGAGCCAAACCUGCAGGGCUUUCUACUGCAGCUUGGGAAGUGGCGACUGUGGGAUGAGUCCGAACUCUCUGCAAAAUGUCUGAGUACUUGUCCUAAUGCGACUGUUUCUCCCGGGUCAGACGUGAACCUCUGCGAGCGCCGCGUAACAGAUGUUUGUUACGGCAGCACCGCGUCACUUUUUCACAUUUGGGUGAGAGGGCUGGAGGGACGCUAAGCCUGUUGACAGAUGGGUAUCGCACCGUCAUACGCUUAUGUUUUCUCCAUCUCACCAUGCCAACUGCGUCACAAGCGCGCGCGCGUGUGUGUGUGCUUCUUGUGGGGUGGUUGUUAUGCUUUAGGUUGAUUCUUUUCACCCAGAGCACCAGCAAAACAAGUCUUUGAGACACAGUGGUGGUUUAUUCAUGUGACCCUUUGACUUGAACUGCAGCACUGUGUGCGUGUUGCAGUUUCCAUGGCGCCCUCAAGCCAAUAAAUAUAAAAAGAACUGUGUGUUAGCCGUGUGAUAGAUUUGUGAUUUGUGCGCUAGUCUUGCCCAAUGCAUGCUGGGAAGCGAUCCAGCUCCCUGCGAUCCCAAACAUAAGAUAAGCAGUUCCAGAAGUGGACAGAUGUGCAUUUAUCGUCCCGUAAAAUAUAAUGUCAUAGUUAAAUCGUGAUAGUGGCAGCCCUCUGACCAGUUUGUGGAUUAUUAGCCGGGGAAGUGAUGGUUUCUUUUCCUACAGCCGAGCGAAGGCGCCUUUGAGCCCAGCUGUCAACCCUCCAACCACCGACACCAAAAUUAAUAAGCGGAUGCUGAGACCGUGCGCACUAAAUGACUAAAUGAAGGCUCAGACGUACCGUGCAUGUUUGUAAUGUAGAGAGAAUUGGAACAUGAGAAUACAAAUCAUGUGCAGGUCAGCAGGUCCAGAGGGGAGAAAGAAAGCCCUGAACACACACACACACACACACACGCACACACACACACACCUACUCUCUGUCUCAUUAGUCUGAUAUUGGCAAAUUCCCAUUUGCAUGUGUGUAGAUCUGCACAUGUGCAUGGCUGUGCUCCGUAGGACUAUAUAUAUAUAUAUAUAUAUAUAAAUACAUGGACCAUAGAUACAUGUGUGUGUGGGCGUGCACGCUCGCGGCAGGGUCCUGGCCUGUUUCUUUCCAGGUGUGUGCUUUUGGCCGAAGGGGAGCAGCAGAUGGUGCCUAUAUACAUGUGUGUGUGUGUGUGUGUGUGUGUGUGUGUAUAACUGAGUGGUUGUCAGUAACAUCUCCCUGGCCAAAGAUCUGUUUUCAGCAGCACACACUGCUGUUAAAGGUCCGGGUCGGGACCCAGAGGAGCUGUGCAGUCAGUUUAAAAAGGGGACGAUGAACGGGGGGGCACAGUUGAUCAUUCUAGAAACAAAACGUUUUGUAGGUAGCAAUUAGCAAGAGGCAACAUGUAGAGGGAACAACAUUCUAAAAGAAGAAAUGAGUACAGCACUAGUUUGAAUGUCUAAAUGUUAAAACAAGGCUAAUUCUAUCUCACCAAACCCACCAUGAAUGAACACUGAAGACUGUUCACACAGAUAAAGCUAUGGAGGUUUUCAUUCUUGCGUUUGCUGACUAGUUUUAAAGCGAUUUGGCUCACUUUAGGUUGUUCCUGUAAGGGGAGAGCGUGGAUCAGAUGGUGUGUCCCACGGGUCCCGUGUCCACUGACCUGUGGAUGACAUCACUGUCUCCAGGGUUACCCAAAUGACUGCUGUGCAUCCAUUUAAAAAAGCAAACAUGCUUUAUUUCAUACAGUGGCCAAGGAUGCAUAUUUAAAACAUGGCAACUUUCCAAAUUCUCCACCAUUGAGAUGCUUGCAAAUGAAUGUGUGCUGAGCAUGUGGUGGGUACUUCAGGGUCCCGGGGAAACCAGCAUUUGCCACAGACAACCCUGAAUUCUCAGUAGCUCCUGAGAUAUUUAUCAGCAACAUGUCAGAGCUGUUGCUCAGGAAUUGUGUUCACAUUUUUUGUCAACGGUGUAAAAGUUACAGAUUUAUACCUUUGGAAAUACUUUUUAUAUUGCAUAUAAGGGAUAGUUUUUUUUAAAUUUUCCUAGUGGUUUUAGUUAGUUUAGUCCAACACCACUAUGCUGUGUUUGCUUUAUUUGAAAUGCAGCGGUUCACAUUUUGCCAUCGACUAUCCAUCUGGUUGAUAAUUUAGCCCCUUAAAAUGUUCAUCCAGUGUGAGUUAUGGGAUUACAGCAAUACAACGGACAUCUGUUUUUCUAGACUCAUUAUUAGUGGAGAUCCCUUCACCCCGAGCCUCUUGGAUUUACUUCAUCCAAAAGGAAGUCCCAUCGAUUCCCGCUUUCCGACAAAGCACAUUAAUUCCAGUGAGCUUUUUUCUUUUGGAAAGGCCUUAAUCAC